AUUGAACGCUGGCGGCAUGCCUUACACAUGCAAGUCGAACGAGACCUUCGGGUCUAGUGGCGCACGGGUGCGUAACGCGUGGGAAUCUGCCCCUCGGUUCGGAAUAACACAGAGAAAUUUGUGCUAAUACCGGAUAAUGACUUCGGUCCAAAGAUUUAUCGCCGAGGGAUGAGCCCGCGUAAGAUUAGCUUGUUGGUGGGGUAAUGGCCUACCAAGGCGACGAUCUUUAGCUGGUCUGAGAGGAUGAUCAGCCACACUGGGACUGAGACACGGCCCAGACUCCUACGGGAGGCAGCAGUGGGGAAUAUUGGACAAUGGGCGAAAGCCUGAUCCAGCAAUGCCGCGUGAGUGAUGAAGGCCUUAGGGUUGUAAAGCUCUUUUACCAGGGAUGAUAAUGACAGUACCUGGAGAAUAAGCUCCGGCUAACUCCGUG
RNAcentral lists this ribosomal RNA (433 nucleotides) under uncultured bacterium. RNAcentral describes it as "bacterial SSU rRNA". It matches the Rfam family "Bacterial small subunit ribosomal RNA", at positions 30 to 507 of the family's 1533-position model. The record is from RNAcentral.